Molecule: ribosomal RNA, 277 nt
Filed under: uncultured prokaryote
Description: partial 16S ribosomal RNA
Rfam family: Bacterial small subunit ribosomal RNA
Source: RNAcentral
CACGUAGGAGGCAAACGUUAUCCGGAUUUACUGGGCGUAAAGCGCAUGUAGGUGGUUCUGUAAGUAGGGCGUGAAAGCUCCCGGCUCAACUGGGAGAGGCCGUUCUAAACUACAGAGCUAGAGGAUUGUAGAGGGAGGUGGAAUUCCGGGUGUAGCGGUGGAAUGCGCAGAUAUCCGGAGGAACACCAGUGGCGAAAGCGGCCUCCUGGUCCAUUCCUGACACUCAGAUGCGAAAGCUAGGGUAGCAAACGGGAUUAGAUACCCCGGUAGUCCCUGA